AAACCAGCACCUCAAGUGGUCAGGAUGAUUAUUGGGCCUAAAGCAUCCGUAGCCGGCUCUGUAAGUUUUCGGUUAAAUCUGUACGCUUAACGUACAGGCUGCCGGGAAUACUGCAGAGCUAGGGAGUGUGAGAGGUAGACGGUACUCGGGAGGAAGGGGUAAAAUCCUUUGAUCUCUCGAUGACCACCUGUGGCGAAGGCGGUCUACCAGAACACGUCCGACGGUAAGGGAUGAAAGCUGGGGGAGCAAACCAGAUAGAAACCCCAGUAGUCC
RNAcentral lists this ribosomal RNA (273 nucleotides) under uncultured bacterium. RNAcentral's name for it is "partial 16S ribosomal RNA". It matches the Rfam family "Archaeal small subunit ribosomal RNA", at positions 473 to 747 of the family's 1478-position model. The record is from RNAcentral.